GGUAGGUUGGCCGAGCAGUCUAAGGCGCUGGUUUAAGGCACGAGUCACUUCGAUGGCGCGAGUUCGAAUCUCGCACAUAUCA
Molecule: transfer RNA, 82 nt
Filed under: Clytia hemisphaerica
Lineage: Eukaryota; Metazoa; Cnidaria; Hydrozoa; Leptothecata; Clytiidae
Description: tRNA-Leu for anticodon AAG
Rfam family: tRNA
About the family: Transfer RNA (tRNA) molecules are approximately 80 nucleotides in length. Their secondary structure includes four short double-helical elements and three loops (D, anti-codon, and T loops).
Source: Rfam by way of RNAcentral